RNAcentral lists this long non-coding RNA (783 nucleotides) under Eutrema salsugineum. Its description in RNAcentral is "long non-coding RNA (ESAL_LNC000645)". Lineage: Eukaryota; Viridiplantae; Streptophyta; Magnoliopsida; Brassicales; Brassicaceae. The record is from RNAcentral.
UUGUUUCAUAUUUGAACUAAGACGUCUUUUUAUGAUUUUCAUGUAAAAACAAAAUCAUAAACUCGUAAUUUAUCUUUGACAAUGUAUACUUUCCAUUAUUACUAUUAAGAAUGGAUUUUCCGUUUUUUUUUUCUUUCCAAAUUGUGUAGUUGAUGAUAUGUGUAUAACUAAGUUAUUUGCUGACGUUUUUAUAACUUGUAUUCACUAGACUGAUGUUUUGGUACAUGUUAUGCAAAAUGUAAAAAUUAGAAUGAAUUUGGAAAAUCACAAAAAAAAAAACAUUAAAAGAAAACACAUGAAAUCAAUCCAAAGUCAACCAAACCAAUUACUAAAAAAAAACUAUAUGUCUCAAAUUUUUAUAAUUAAAAAAAAAAAAAAAACCAUAAACUAGCAAGCUAGGGUGUCCAUCUCUAUUUUCUACAGUAUGUAUGUUAUGAUGCAGCUAGUAGACUACGGAUAGAAGAUCGUUUAGACUUUUAGACGUUUUGAAAAAGAUGUAAAUAGUUUCACAAAAGAUUUAUAAGGUGAUACACAGAAGUUAAACCAGGCAAAAAAAAUCUACAAUACACGAAGUUGUUAAGUAAAAAAUGAUUAAAAAAAACAGACGAUAGGAUGCGAGUCUAAUAAACAAUUAACAAAGCCUAUUUUAAAGCGUAUGCAUGUAUUGUGUAUCCUGGAUGAUGGAGUUGCAAAUGUUAUUUCUGUUAUUUCCAAAUCAGAAACAAAACUAUCCGCUGUCGAUAAUCGAACCCGGAAUUUCUCGCAAUGAAAUCUAACCAGUAG